UAUUCCAUUAUCUGCUGAGUCAUAUUUUCAUGGAGACAAGGAAGAGGCAGUAACAGUUGAUAGCAAUCCUAUAUUGUCUCUCUUCUCACAUUGAGAUAACAUAACUACAACCUGCAUCCAUAACAAGUUGCCCUUUAUAAGGUUGGCCAGGAGUUGACAUCUGAUAGUCAACUGUUAUGGGACAGUGGGAGUGUCAGAAUGCUGAAAGCAGAUUACUAAAGGUUGUUAGCCUAUUGCACAACCCCUAUGUCCCAGGGAGGGUGAUGCACCUUCUGUCAGGCCCCUUUCCUAACAGACCUGACCGGCUUUUAAGUACCUGCCAUGAGUGAUGAGCUCCCGCUGGUAUAGCUCUGAGGAUCAUUGAGGCAUAUUAGCUGUCACACCACGUCAAGCUGAUCCUCAUGACUGAUCUCAGUGCAGCUGACCACUGUCCUUGUUUAAAGAACAGCAAUUGGGAACCACUAGAAUGACAACUCAAUCAGAAUCAACCAGCCACUGAAAUAUGCUUAAAUCUUUCCAUUGAAGUCUGUGAUGUGUUAUGUUCUAAUAUUGACUUGAGUGUAACAAACUCACUAGAGACUAUGACAACAAUGAAUGCGGCUGUGUAAUCAACACACUGGAGUCAUUGAUUCAUUGACACUCUUCCUACUUUUGAAUCUUCAUUCCCUGAGCUGUAUCUGGGUCAAUAGGCCACAUGUAGUUUACCUGUACCUGGUAGAUUAUUUUAACACCAACC
Molecule: long non-coding RNA, 736 nt
Organism: Biomphalaria glabrata
Lineage: Eukaryota; Metazoa; Mollusca; Gastropoda; Planorbidae
Exons: 6
Source: RefSeq, a predicted model, not a curated record